RNAcentral lists this ribosomal RNA (376 nucleotides) under uncultured Legionella sp. RNAcentral's name for it is "bacterial SSU rRNA". It matches the Rfam family "Bacterial small subunit ribosomal RNA", at positions 283 to 651 of the family's 1533-position model. Lineage: Bacteria; Pseudomonadati; Pseudomonadota; Gammaproteobacteria; Legionellales; Legionellaceae. The record is from RNAcentral.
GUAGCUGGUCUGAGAGGAUGGCCAGCCACACUGGAACUGAGACACGGUCCAGACUCCUACGGGAGGCAGCAGUGGGGAAUAUUGGACAAUGGGGGCAACCCUGAUCCAGCAAUGCCGCGUGUGUGAAGAAGGCCUGAGGGUUGUAAAGCACUUUCAGUGGGGAGGAGGAUUGAUAGGUUAAGAGCUAAUUAAUUGGACGUUACCCACAGAAGAAGCACCGGCUAACUCCGUGCCAGCAGCCGCGGUAAUACGGAGGGUGCGAGCGUUAAUCGGAAUUACUGGGCGUAAAGGGUGCGUAGGUGGUUUAUUAAGUUAUCUGUGAAAUCCCUGGGCUUAACCUGGGCAGGUCAGAUAAUACUGUUUGACUCGAGUAUGG